This 565-nucleotide ribosomal RNA is filed under the name uncultured bacterium. Its description in RNAcentral is "bacterial SSU rRNA". It matches the Rfam family "Bacterial small subunit ribosomal RNA", at positions 338 to 917 of the family's 1533-position model. The record is from RNAcentral.
CCUACGGGAGGCAGCAGUGGGGAAUUUUCCGCAAUGGGCGAAAGCCUGACGGAGCAACGCCGCGUGAGGGAUGAAGGCCUCUGGGCUGUAAACCUCUUUUCUCAAGGAAGAAGAUCUGACGGUACUUGAGGAAUAAGCCACGGCUAAUUCCGUGCCAGCAGCCGCGGUAAUACGGGAGUGGCAAGCGUUAUCCGGAAUUAUUGGGCGUAAAGCGUCCGCAGGCGGCCCUUCAAGUCUGCUGUUAAAAAGUGGAGCUUAACUCCAUCGUGGCAGUGGAAACUGUUGGGCUAGAGUGUGGUAGGGGCAGAGGGAAUUCCCGGUGUAGCGGUGAAAUGCGUAGAUAUCGGGAAGAACACCAGUGGCGAAGGCGCUCUGCUGGGCCAUAACUGACGCUCAUGGACGAAAGCCAGGGGAGCGAAAGGGAUUAGAUACCCCUGUAGUCCUGGCCGUAAACGAUGAACACUAGGUGUCGGGGGAAUCGACCCCCUCGGUGUCGUAGCCAACGCGUUAAGUGUUCCGCCUGGGGAGUACGCACGCAAGUGUGAAACUCAAAGGAAUUGACGGA